CACGUAGGGGCCAAGCGUUGUCCGGAUUUAUUGGGCGUAAAGAGCUCGUAGGCGGUUUGUCGCGUCUGCCGUGAAAGUCCGGGGCUCAACUCCGGAUCUGCGGUGGGUACGGGCAGACUAGAGUGAUGUAGGGGAGACUGGAAUUCCUGGUGUAGCGGUGAAAUGCGCAGAUAUCAGGAGGAACACCGAUGGCGAAGGCAGGUCUCUGGGCAUUAACUGACGCUGAGGAGCGAAAGCAUGGGGAGCGAACAGG
Molecule: ribosomal RNA, 253 nt
Filed under: uncultured bacterium
Lineage: Bacteria
Description: partial 16S ribosomal RNA
Rfam family: Bacterial small subunit ribosomal RNA
Source: RNAcentral